Molecule: transfer RNA, 73 nt
Filed under: Chloroflexi bacterium RBG_16_56_8
Lineage: Bacteria; Bacillati; Chloroflexota
Description: tRNA-Trp
Rfam family: tRNA
About the family: Transfer RNA (tRNA) molecules are approximately 80 nucleotides in length.
Source: RNAcentral
AGGCGAGUAGCUCAAUUGGCAGAGCACCGCUCUCCAAAAGCGGGGGUUGGGGGUUCAAUUCCCUCCUCGCCUG